Molecule: ribosomal RNA, 253 nt
Filed under: uncultured bacterium
Lineage: Bacteria
Description: partial 16S ribosomal RNA
Rfam family: Bacterial small subunit ribosomal RNA
Source: RNAcentral
UACGUAGGGAGCAAGCGUUGUCCGGAAUCAUUGGGCGUAAAGCGCGCGUAGGCGGCCCUGUAAGUCCGUUGUGAAAGUCAAAGGCUCAACCUUUGAAAGCCGAUGGAUACUGCAGGGCUAGAGUCCGGAAGAGGCGAGUGGAAUUCCUGGUGUAGCGGUGGAAUGCGCAGAUAUCAGGAGGAACACCAAUAGCGAAGGCAGCUCGCUGGGACGGCACUGACGCUAAGGCGCGAAAGCGUGGGGAGCGAACAGG